AUACUUACCUGGCAGGGGAGAUACAUUGAUCGCCAAGGUGGUUUUCUCAGGGCGAGGCUUAUCCAUUACUCUCCACAUGUGCUGACCCCCGAGAUUUCCCCAAAUGUGGGAAACGCCAGCAUAACGUGGGGGGGGCCUGCGCUCAUUUGCUCCUCUA
Small nuclear RNA from Pipistrellus kuhlii (Kuhl's pipistrelle), 157 nucleotides. RefSeq annotates it as U1 spliceosomal RNA. Lineage: Eukaryota; Metazoa; Chordata; Mammalia; Chiroptera; Vespertilionidae. The record is from RefSeq and is a predicted model, not a curated record. The transcript has a single exon.